CUACGGGCUGCUCCAGGCGAGAAAACUUUGCAAUGUGCGAAAGCACGACAAGGUUAAUCCGAGUGGUUUCUGCUAAAGGAACCUUUUGUCGGUCCUAGAAACACCGAUGAAUAAGGGGUGGGCAAGUUCUGGUGUCAGCCGCCGCGGUAAAACCAGCACCUCAAGUGGUCAGGAUGAUUAUUGGGCCUAAAGCAUCCGUAGCCUGCUUUGUUAGUUUUCGGUUAAAUCUGUACGCUCAACGUACAGGCUGCCGGGAAUACUGCAAAGCUAGGGAGUGGGAGAGGUAGACGGUACUCGGUAGGAAGGGGUAAAAUCCUUUGAUCUAUUGAUGACCACCUGUGGCGAAGGCGGUCUACCAGAACACGUCCGACGGUGAGGGAUGAAAGCUGGGGGAGCAAACCGGAUUAGAUACCCGAGUAGUC
Molecule: ribosomal RNA, 422 nt
Filed under: uncultured archaeon
Lineage: Archaea
Description: partial 16S ribosomal RNA
Rfam family: Archaeal small subunit ribosomal RNA
Source: RNAcentral